GAUGAACGCUGGCGGCGGUGCCUCAAACAUGCAAGUCGAGCGGGGCGUAUGUAAUAUCGCAAGGUAGAACAUAGCCUAGCGGCGAACGGGUGAGUAACACGUGGGUAACCUGCCUGGAAGACAGGGAUAACGAUUCGAAAGGGUCGCUAAUACCUGAUAAUAUCCUUUCAUCGCAUGGUGAUAGGAAGAAAGGGGAAACCCGCUUUCAGAUGGGCCCGCGUCCCAUCAGCUAGUUGGUAAGGUAAAGGCUUACCAAGGCGACGACGGGUAGCCGGUCUGAGAGGAUGUACGGCCACACUGGGACUGAGAUACGGCCCAGACUCCUACGGGAGGCAGCAGUUGGGAAUCUUAGGCAAUGGACGAAAGUCUGACCUAGCGACGCCGCGUGAGGGAAGAAGGCCUUCGGGUUGUAAACCUCUGUCAUGGGGGAAGAAGGAAGUGACGGUACCCCAAGAGGAAGCCCCUGCUAACUACGUG
RNAcentral lists this ribosomal RNA (477 nucleotides) under uncultured bacterium. RNAcentral describes it as "bacterial SSU rRNA". It matches the Rfam family "Bacterial small subunit ribosomal RNA", at positions 28 to 507 of the family's 1533-position model. The record is from RNAcentral.